UUAUCGGAGAGUUUGAUCCUGGCUCAGGACGAACGCUGGCGGCGUGCCUAAUACAUGCAAGUCGAGCGGACAGAUGGGAGCUUGCUCCCUGAUGUUAGCGGCGGACGGGGGAGUAACACGUGGGUAACCUGCCUGU
RNAcentral lists this ribosomal RNA (136 nucleotides) under Bacillus inaquosorum. Its description in RNAcentral is "partial 16S ribosomal RNA". It matches the Rfam family "Bacterial small subunit ribosomal RNA", at positions 1 to 133 of the family's 1533-position model. The record is from RNAcentral. Lineage: Bacteria; Bacillati; Bacillota; Bacilli; Caryophanales; Bacillaceae.